This is a long non-coding RNA of Lates calcarifer (barramundi perch), 486 nucleotides long. RefSeq lists it as uncharacterized. Lineage: Eukaryota; Metazoa; Chordata; Actinopteri; Centropomidae. The record is from RefSeq and is a predicted model, not a curated record. The transcript has 2 exons.
CGAGCUGGGUACUGGUCUGUAUCUGGGCUGGGCGGGGGUCUGGCCUUACUGGGAGGAUCUAUGCUCUGCUGCUCCUGCAGGAAGUCCUCCUCCUCCUCCUCCUCCCCUGCUCGCCAGUUUUCAUACAACUUCACCACCACGAGCCGAGGACAGAGCAUCUACAGAGCAGCUCCGGCCCCGACAGCAGCUUCUCCAAAGCUUACGUCUAAAACUGCUUCCUGUCUGAAACUGUUUCAAGAAGCCUCUGAGUUUCUUCUUUCUGGAAAUGAAACCAACGUGAGAUGAGUUUUUUAUUGUGAAGGAAACUGAUCCUUUGAUUUCAACCUGAUCCUUUUGUAUUAGUGACGUCUCUGAAUAUCAGGAUGAGGAUUAUUAUGAACUGUUGUAAAUAAAACCUUUCCUCAUCUUUUUUUUUAUUUUCAGAUCUUUGAUUUGAAAGUUUCUCUGGUUCAGAAAGUUGAGAUUAAAGCCUGAUUAUAAUCUUUA